RNAcentral lists this long non-coding RNA (532 nucleotides) under Triticum aestivum (bread wheat). RNAcentral describes it as "long non-coding RNA (TAES_LNC005200)". The record is from RNAcentral. Lineage: Eukaryota; Viridiplantae; Streptophyta; Magnoliopsida; Poales; Poaceae.
CUUUCUCCCUUAUAUUUUAUAUUCAGGCAGAUGCAUCUCGAUCUGAUUUCCAUCUCCCAGAUUCCAGAAACUUGAUGUGAUGAUGGAUUACUUUUAGUCGCCCUUCACGGCCACCUAUGAAAACACACUUCACUGCAUCUCGAACACAUCCAGGCAUGUAUGUAAACUGCUUUCUACAGCAGGGGUCAGACUAUAUUAAAACCAUCAAGAACCGCAUAGCAAGUAAAGAUAAUAAUCAAAUACCAAGUAAUGAGUGUUGCCGAGAAUCAUGCCUAGCUUUCUACCCAACUUGCAGCCUUUAUCUCCCCUGCUUGGGUCUCAAGGCAGACACAUAAUAGUACAGCUUGGAAUUUAGCCAGAUGCAUUGCAUCCUUGAACCAAUGAACAAUGCUGCAAUCCCAUCUACAUACUGGAAACGGCCACCAAUCCACCUUCUUCCUGAAAAUCAGAACAUAGAGGAACGGAGAGGAACAAACUGGAGAUAUAACGGGAGAUACACAUGAAGGCUGGCUUAUCUUCUUGGAGGUUCACG